Molecule: ribosomal RNA, 301 nt
Filed under: uncultured bacterium
Lineage: Bacteria
Description: partial 16S ribosomal RNA
Rfam family: Bacterial small subunit ribosomal RNA
Source: RNAcentral
CAGCCGCCGCGGUAAGACAGAGGAUGCAAGCGUUGUCCGGAAUUAUUGGGCGUAAAGGGCUCGCAGGCGGUUUCUUAAGUCUGAUGUGAAAGCCCCCGGCUCAACCGGGGAGGGUCACUGGAAACUGGGAAACUUGAGUGCAGAAGAGGAGAGUGGAAUUCCACGUGUAGCGGUGAAAUGCGUAGAGAUGUGGAGGAACACCAGUGGCGAAGGCGACUCUCUGGUCUGUAACUGACGCUGAGGAGCGAAAGCGUGGGGAGCGAACAGGAUUAGAUACCCGCGUAGUCCCUGUCUCUAUACA